CAUGCAAGUCGAGCGGACAGAAGGGAGCUUGCUCCCGGAUGUUAGCGGCGGACGGGUGAGUAACACGUGGGAACCUGCCUGUAAGACUGGGAUAACUCCGGGAAACCGGAGCUAAUACCGGAUAGUUCCUUGAACCGCAUGGUUAGGAUGAAAGACGGUUUCGGCUGUCACUUACAGAUGGACCCGCGGCGCAUUAGCUAGUUGGUGAGGUAACGCUCACCAAGGCGACGAUGCGUAGCCGACCUGAGAGGGUGAUCGGCCACACUGGGACUGAGACACGGCCCAGAUCCUACGGGAGGCAGCAGUAGGGAAUCUUCCGCAAUGGACGAAAGUCUGACGGAGCAACGCCGCGUGAGUGAGAAUUUCGGAUCGUAAAGCUCUGUUGUUAGAAGAACAAGUGCAAGAGUAACUGCUUGCACCUUGACGGUACCUAACCAGAAAGCCACGGCUAACUACGUGCCAGCAGCCGCGGUAAUACGUAGGUGGCAAGCGUUGUCCGGAAUUGGGCGUAAAGGGCUCGCAGGCGGUUUCUUAAGUCUGAUGUGAAAGCCCCCGGCUCAACCGGGGAGGGUCAUUGGAAACUGGGAAACUUGAGUGCAGAAGAGGAGAGUGGAAUUCCACGUGUAGCGGUGAAAUGCAGAGAUGUGGAGGAACACCAGUGGCGAAGGCGACUCUCUGGUCUGUAACUGACGCUGAGGAGCGAAAGCGUGGGGAGCAACAGGAUUAGAUACCCUGGUAGUCCACGCCGUAAACGAUGAGUGCUAAGUGUUAGGGGGUUUCCGCCCCUUAGUGCUGCUAACGCAUUAAGCACUGCCUGGGGAGUACGGUCGCAAGACUGAAACUCAAAGGAAUUGACGGGGGCCCGCACAAGCGGUGGAGCAUGUGGUUUAAUUCGAAGCAACGCGAAGAACCUUACCAGGUCUUGACAUCCUCUGACAACCCUAGAGAUAGGGCUUUCCCUUCGGGGACAGAGUGACAGGUGGUGCAUGGUUGUCGUCAGCUCGUGUCGUGAGAUGUUGGGUUAAGUCCGCAACGAGCGCAACCCUAUCUUAGUUGCCAGCAUUCAGUUGGGCACUCUAAGGUGACUGCCGGUGCAAACCGGAGGAAGGUGGGGAUGACGUCAAAUCAUCAUGCCCCUUAUGACCUGGGCUACACACGUGCUACAAUGGACAGAACAAAGGGCUGCGAGACCGCAAGGUUUAGCCAAUCCCACAAAUCUGUUCUCAGUUCGGAUCGCAGUCUGCAACUCGACUGCGUGAAGCUGGAAUCGCUAGUAAUCGCGGAUCAGCAUCGCGGUGAAUACGUUCCCGGGCCUUGUACACACCGCCCGUCACACCACGAGAGUUUGCAACACCCGAAGUCGGUGAGGUAACCUUUA
Molecule: ribosomal RNA, 1378 nt
Filed under: uncultured bacterium
Lineage: Bacteria
Description: bacterial SSU rRNA
Rfam family: Bacterial small subunit ribosomal RNA
Source: RNAcentral